Long non-coding RNA from Homo sapiens (human), 1491 nucleotides. Ensembl annotates it as long intergenic non-protein coding RNA 844. The record is from Ensembl. Lineage: Eukaryota; Metazoa; Chordata; Mammalia; Primates; Hominidae.
GAGACAAAGGAAACACAGAGACAUAGACAUGGAUCUGGGAAAUACACCUUUUGCUACUCGUUCAGUUUUAGCAAGGAGGUUUCUUGCAUGGCUAAGCAAAACUUAAACUUCCUCUGAGAAUUACAGGAAUUACAGGACCUGACAAAGCUAUGAAGAUUAAAACCUAUAGGAAGAAAAUCUGAACCAGAAACAGUAUGGCAGAAUUGGGAUCUGACUCACAGAGGGAAGAACUUAUAAUUCUUCACAGGUCACAUAGAAGCAUGAGAAUUUGGGUUCAAGCAAGAGAAACAUUUUGCACUGUGCUGGGGGAUUCUACCCACAUAAGUCAGCAUGUUACUUGCUAGAUAAAAGAGCAAUGAAUGGAGUACUUCAACGCCUAAAUACCUGACGUGUGACAGCAAAUGCCUGUUCCCAUGGAGCUGCUGCUUCUGAGAAAGCUUGAAACAGACAAAGAAUAAGGUAGAAAUGACCUCCUCACUAGAGAUGAAAAGAAGCUGUCCUGGUGAGGAAAUUGGAUCCCAGCUUUUGCCGCUAAGAUUCUUCUCUUCUGCCUCUGGUUUUCUUUAUUGUUCACCCCCAGAAGCAAUCGCUCUCUCACAAGGCAACACACGCAAUAGAGUGAACAGUGAUUCUACAGUCUGAUUCUGGAAAAGGCGACCACAGUGGAAAGAGUGAUCCACACAAGUAUAGGGCCUCCUGAUUAAAACACUAAGAUUUCAUCUCACGCUGUGCCUUUAUACUGUUGAGAUACUAAAGAGGACACUAAAGAUCAAAGUGCUACUUUACAACAUUUUGAAGAAAACAACUGCUACCUGUGUAUUAGUUUGUGCAGAUGUGUUACACAGCUUAGCUGUGUCUGUACCAGUUUAUUAGAAUCAAAGUAUUUUUAAAGUACCUAAGGCCAGGCACAGUGGCUCACACCUGUAAUCCCAGCACUUUGGGAGGCUGAGGCAAGUGGAUCACUUGAGAUCAGGAAUUCAAGACCAGCCUGGCCAACAUGGUGAAACCCCAUCUCUACUAAAAAUACAAAAAUUAGCCAGGCAUGGUGUCACAUGCCUGUAAUCCCAGUGACUCAAGAGGCUGAGGUAUGAGAAUCAAUCGUUUGAACUCAGAAGGAGAGGUUGCAGUGAGUGGAGAUAGCAACACUGUACUCCAGCCUGGGUGACAGAGUGAGAUCCAGUCUCAAAAAAAAAAAAAAAAAAAAAAAAAGUACCUAAAACUUGUGAUAUGGUUUGGCCUUGUCCCCACCCAAAUCUCAUAUUGAAUUGAAUUAUGGGGAGAGGUCUUUCCUGCGCUGUUCUUAUGAUAGUGAAUGAGUUUCAUGAGAUCUGAUGGUUUUAAAAAUGGGAGUUUCCCUGCACAAGCUCUCUUUUGUUGCCUGCUGCCAUCCACGUAAGAUGUGACUUGCUCCUCUUUACCUUCCACCAUGAUUUUGAGGCCUCCCCAGUCCUGUGGAACUGUAAGUUCAAUAAACCUCUUUCUUUUGUAAAU